Heterocephalus glaber (naked mole-rat) is the source of this 7873-nucleotide long non-coding RNA. The record is from Ensembl. Lineage: Eukaryota; Metazoa; Chordata; Mammalia; Rodentia; Bathyergidae.
CGUGACUUACAAGGUUGGUCCUCAGCUUGGCUCUGUUGGAAGGUGGCACAAAUCUUUAACAGGUGGGGCCUAAUGGAAGGUUUUAAGUCAUUAGUGGUGUGCCUCUGAGGGGGUGGGGACUCCAGCCCCUUGCUCUUUCUCUCUUUCUUCCCAGCUACAGGAGGAGGCAAGUGGGUUUGCUUUACCACACAGUCCCAGCAUGCAGUGCUGCCUCAUUACAGGCCAAAUGCAACAGGGCCACCUGAUCACAAACGGGAACCUCAAAAAUGGGAACAAAAUAAGCCUUUCACCUUUAAAGUUGAUUAUCUCAGAUGUUUUGUGAUAGUAAUGGAAAGCUGACUAAUGCAUUCUUUCCUUCCUUCCUCCUUUCUUCUCUUCUUCCUUCUUUUCUUCUCUCUGUUUAUUUUCUGUUAUCUCAGUUCAUGGCACUGUGAUGUUUUGCUGCCAAGAGUUCACAGUAAAAGGAACUGGAGGUUGGCAUUCUGGGAGGAUGUAAAUGGGCACAGUUUCUGGUCCGGAAGCUCCAGUGAUCCUCACUUGAUGCUUUGAAAAUCUGCUAUUGACCACAGGAUUGAUGCUCUCCUCAUGAUAGCAACCAAGUCACUGAAAUCAACCCCACUGGAGAAAAUGUUUUCAACUACUUGGAAAUAAACACAAUCUCAUCAGGAUCAGCUACAUGUAUGGUUAUGAUAAUGAGAUUGAAAAGAGAAAAGUCUUGGUGACUCGCUGAAGAUCCAGUGGGCAGUUACUGAAGGAUUCAAAUCUGUAAAGGAGUCUUCUAACGUCAAGAUGAAAGAAAUGAGCCUCAAAAGUGAAAUAAAUGACCGACUGACAACCCGGAGCUGCUGGAUGGGGAGUCUGAGCCCAGGACCCAGGGCUGAUUGGCUCCAACACCCUGUCUGCCCUCACAGCAUUCUCUCAGCCCCAGAAGAGAAAGUCUGUAGUCGUGUGCAAUUCUCUUGUCACUUUGCUAUCAUAUAUGAGACUAAAUAGCAGAAGGCUGGCUUUCCCGAAGGAGUGUGGGAUUUGACUUCACACAGGCCUGUAGUUCCCAUGGAUCAAAGACACAUGCAUGUGGAGCCAUGCUUUCAAUUCUAGGUGCUUCCACAAUGAAAGGAUGAAUUGGGGUCAGUGGUCCCCACAACAUCUUCUGGCCUAACAGGAAAGAGAAACGUAAAAAGUGCUUUUGAAAAGACAGAGUAAGUGAGCUAGAUUGUUGUACGUGUGGAAGAACCAUUGUUUUUUACUGUAAGUAGUACAAAAGAUAUUAAUGACUCCGUGUACCUGGUAGUGGGGAUGAAGCCCAGUAGAUCCAUUAUGCAGCUUAAUUUAAGGGUCAUUCGCUGUCAUGUCGAUUCCGGCUGUAUGAAACAUCUGUUGGUCUCCCCCGUGGAGAAUGUAGUCUGAUGUCUCUUUGCAUUUGGUGUCAAACUGGCUCUGAAGCAUGAGACACAUGGACCCAGUUGCUCCAAGGCAUGAGUUAAGGCCAGCGGACACUGAAGGGUUAAGUGCCAUUUUGACAGUGCAAACAUACAUAGGAUUGAACAGUGACUUCAUUUGUGUCACUGGAGUGGUUUCUUCUGAUGUGGUGGCUCCUCCAAGACCUAAAACAAAACCAGAUACACACAAACAGAAACUAAAUGAUCCUUCCCCCAAAGGAUGGAAGGACAAUCGUCCACAAAACCAUUAAGAAAACAUAACCACUGACAGGAGUAUGUGUGGUGCUUUGAUUUGUAAUAGUGGAUCCUUAUAUACCUGAUAAUUUAGUUCAAAUGGGGCACAAAAAAACAAUUCUUUUAUCAGAGCCUUACCAGUGGCAUUGUUAUAAAGGACAUGCUGCCCUGGGAAGGGAAAUUUUGUCCCAUUCAAACACAUUCUGAAUAUCUCAAAAAAUACUCCCUUAUUUAUGAGAAUGUGUUUCUCAAACAGAAGAUUGAAUUUUAUCUUUGCAGAAACUCAUUUUCUCUCCCUCUAAUGACAUGUAAAUCAUUUUCCCUUUAUUUUUUCAACUUUUUAUUUCAUUGGUUUCUAAGAUGCCAGUCUUAAAAUGUCUAUUGUUUCUAUUGUAUUGAAAUAAUUUUCUCUUUGUGGAGAGUCCACAUGUCGACAUUCUAUAGGCAAUAAUUUAUAUUUCUAUUGAUAGACCAGAAGUACUUAUUAGGAUAUGCAUCAUAAAAAAUUCCUUCAUAUCUUCCAACUGCUUUCAACUGGCAAGUUCACUAAGCCCUAAUUUCUAUGUAGAUAUAAUUAGCUGUUCUUUUCUCCUUUUUUUCCAGUGCUAGGGAUCAAAUCCCAGGAACACCUCUUCUUAAAGCAGGAGUUUUGCACAGCAUCUGUAAGGAUGUGUCAGAUGACAAAUGGGUGUGAGAUGGAGUCCACUGUUUUCCUAGGACCUGGAAACAUUUGUGUCCUAGUCACUCCUCAGACGGACAGGCACUUUUUCCAAAUAAGGACGAAAUCAGCUUUCCUCUGUCAGUGGCUGCUGCCCAUCCCCAGUUCCCCAAUGCAAUGCCAGCCUGGAAAUAAGUUUCAGCAAAGACAUACUUAAUUUUCUGUUUGAAAGAACAUCGAAAGGAGGUGGACACUUCAGGACACUGGGCAUACACCAAAAGGUAUGACAGUCAAUGCUCUCUUUCUGUCACCAUGGUGAAAUACCUCUGAUAAUUCAGAAAGGUGUGUCAGCUCACAGUGCCUGAGGUUCCAUUCGCGAUCAAGUGGACCACAGACCAGACCUCUGGUCAGGGUGCCUGGUGAAAAUUCAGGGCACACAUGCUCACUUUCCACCCAGGAAGAGAGCAGGACCAUGCAGUUUCCUAUGGAGAAUAUUCCAGAGACAAAGAUUUCUCACAGGGCCCCACCUCCUAAAGGUCCAAGCACCUUCCUCCUUGCCACCAUGGUGACCACCGUGCCUCAGGAGACGCCCAUCUAAACUACAGAAGGCAGCCAGGUUCCCUACAGUCAGACACCCAUCGAUCCCACCUGGGUGGAAGAAGGUGGCUGAAUCACUUCAAAAUCCUCAGCCUGUCUGAGUCCCCACUAAAAUGUAAGCACAGGGAGAAUAAGGACUUGAUCGUAUCCACCACUGAAUCCUAGAGUCUAGAAAAGAUCCUGCCAGAGUCAGCAGCACAAUAUUUAGUGGUGGGAGGAAAAAUGAAGGAAGGGGAAGAAGGGCAAAAUGGAAGAAGGAAAGCAAGUGGGCAGAAAUACGCCAGUUGAUUCAGAUUUUCUGGAUUGACAAGUAUAAUUGUUAUAACUGCAGCUGAAAUAACACUUGCUGAUGCCACCACUGUGUAUAAAGGGAUGUGGAGAAGUUGAGAGUAUUUAUCAUAACUGGGGUGGGAGGACUAACACCUUAGGGGUGGCCUGAACUGAGAGCCUGAGUUAAAGCUGAGUGACUUCAAGCAAAGGUCUCCUUUGUCCUUCUAGGUCCCGGAGGACAAGGGCUCUAGCUCAGGUUUGGUGCCUGAAGGCAGAAAAACACGUGGACCUGCUCAUGGGGUUCUCACAGUCUAAUGAGGGACCUAAGGGCUGGGUGUGCAAGUUCAAUGCAGGUCUGUAGGGCCAAGAUCCAAAAAGAGCUCCCCAGCAGGAGCUGUGUUCUGUGGCUGGGGGCUUGCAAGCAUGGAAGAUGGAGUUGCCUGAGAGGAGGCAUCUGUGUGUGACCUGGAAAGGUGAUGAGCUCGGAGCUUAGACGCUGCGUGGUUGUCCUUUCUGAGCAAUGAUGCUGUCAGGCAGACUGACCCCUCCCUUUUCUAUCUAGAAGAACUGGACUGAAGAUAGAAUAACGAAACUGAUUUUAAAAAACUGAUGCAAAACUCCCUCCUCCUCCUGUGUUCCCUACAUUCCUCAGGAGAGCCAUGAAAUUAUUAAGUCUGAGGACAGCCUUCAUCCAUAUUCUGUGGUUUCAGAAGAAACACACCCCAAACCCCACUGUCCCUCUUGGUCUUGGCUUAAGAGCAGACACCAAGGGCUGAAAUGGAAUGAAGCACGCCAGCCAGUACGCCAGCUAGUAUGCCAGCCCCUGCUCUAUGAGCUCACGUCUCUCAUUUCCUUAUGGCCUGAAAGUUCUUUUAGUCACUUGCCAGGGACUCUCCCCAAAUAGACAUGGAAGUUUGGUGCAUGGUUCUAAGGUUGUUUGCAUGUUGCAAAAAGGAAAUGCAAGAAACUGCUUUGUGAAACAUCAAAGUUCUAUUGCAAGGAGUGAUAUCUUCAUGACUUAACAUAUGACUUGAAGGUCACACAAUCAUAGUUUGAAGAUAUGUUGAGUUUGUGUUUCUCCAGAUUCUCAGGUUUGAAACUCCAAGCACACUGUGGAGGAAAGCAAAGCAAUAAGUGGGAGAAUGUCAAGAAGGUUUUGCCUCUGAGAAGGAUCAUAGGAGGAGCCACUAUUGUAAAUGAAUCCGUGGAGCUUUGCAAAGUCUUAAAAAGGACCAUUCAGUUGCAUAAUAUGAGUCCUUAACUUUAUAGCAUAUGGGACACAUAGUUGCUGUGACGUGGUGGGAGAUAAAUGUUGUCAUGUGAUGUUGAAAGAAGAGCAAUAGCUCAGAAUGUGAGGAGGAGGUUGGUGUAUUGGAUUAUUCUGAAAUAAAUUGCUGUCAUCUGGAAGGCUUGCUGUGGCUGGGAAGGAGCUGCCAAGCAGUAAGGCGCUGUGGCUGCCAUUGUGAGGAUGGUGGUGGACUCCUUUCAGUUUCCGGAAAACACCUUGAACAAAACACCUUGAAUGCACAGCCAAGAGAAAUGGGUCAUCCCAGGCCUCUUUCUUCUUUGUAUAUUUUCUCCUACUCAGAACUGUUUUCUCAAUUCUCCAGUGAACUGCUUCAGAUAAAUGAAGUAUGGCAUCAGUCGACAGCUGGGACUUUCCACCAGGGCAAUUUGGCACCACCACUACUCUGAGGGGACAUCUGGCAACAUCUACGGAUAUUUUUGGUAGUCAUAAUUGAAAUAGUGCUAUGGGCACCUAGGCGGUAGAGGUUAAAAUGCUCCUAAGCAGCCUCCAAUGUGUGGGAUGUCCUCUCUUCCAUGCCAGCAUGGAAUUAUCCAGCCUCACAAGGCCAUGGCACUAAGGCUGAGAAAUUCCUGGUUUCAGAUAAAUUUGGACUUUCUGUUUUUCAAAUUAUUUAGAUAAGUUCUAUUCACAAUGACUUUCAAGACCAAAAUAGAAACUUCAAUUGUAGGUAAUUGACACCUGUGAUAUCUAUUUCUUGCAAAUUUAUGAAAAAUACACUCACUUCCCUAAUUCUCAUGUUGAUGGUAUCUCAUGUAAUUUUCUGAGAAACAAUGCAAUCAUCUUGAAAUAAACUCAUGAUAAUUUAUCCUAUACUUAGCUACCACUCUCCGUCUUUGCAAAGUAACAUAGCCAAACAGGGCAAAAUGACAAUUUUCUCGGAUUUUUAUCUGGGAUUCUUUCUGAUAAUCUUUGAUGGAUAUCAAGUCUCAGUGAAAGAGUGCAUUUCAGGAUCCUGGGAAUAUUAAUAACCACACAGAAAUACUGUCAGUCUGAGAAAAUUGCUUCAAUACAUAUAAGAUUCUUUAUCAAGAUAAAUAAGAAUAGCUAACAUCAAAUGCUUGCUUUUUCCUAGUUUCUUUCCUAGUUGUUUUCUGUGAUUCAUUUUAUGUGACUCCUCAAGAUAAACAUUUGUACUCUUAUUUUAGCCAUGUGUUGUCUCAAACCUAGAGCAGUAGAGAAGCUCACCUGCUAGUGACUCCCCGUGAUUAGAUCAGUGAUCUCAGCCUGCAAGAUAAGGGGUCGCCCCUCCUCUAGCCCAGAUAGAAGCUAAACAGCACAGAACUAUAUGACCUGAAUCUGCAGCCAUGGGGACCCCGCCCCUGCAGAGCACAAAUUGAGGGUGCAGGGAGCCAUGGCGUCAUCACAAAAGAGGGCAGACUGUUCUGGGUUCCUACUGGCUCCAAUACAAAUUUUAGGAUUGUUUUUCCUAGCUCUGUGAAGAAUGCUGGUGAUAUUUUGAUUAGAAUUGCAUUAAACCUAUAUAUCAUUUUGGUAAUGUGGCCACUUUGACAAUACUAGUUCUGCCUAUUCAGGAACAGCAGGUGUCUUUCCGUUUUCUAAUGUCUCCUUCGAUGUCUGUUUUUUUGUGUGUGUUUUUUCAGAGUACUAUAGUUUCCAUUAUGCAGGCCUUUCACUUCCUUGGUUAGGUUAAUUCCUAGGUAUUUAAAUAUUUUUUUAAAGCUACCAUGAGUGAAAUUGUUUUCCUGAUUUCUUUCUCAGUGAGUUCACUGUUGGUGUACAGGAAUGCUAUUGAUUUUUGGUGCUGAUUUCCUAUCCUGCCACUUGCUGAAUUUAUUUAUUAGUUCUAGGAGUCUUUUGGUGGUGCUUUUUGGGGUCUUCUAUGCAAAGUGGCAUGUCACCUGCAAAAAGAGAGUUUGAAUUUGUCCUUUCCUAUUUAUAUUCCUCUUAUGUCUUUCUCUUGCCUAACUUUAGUAAGAAUGACUAUCAUCAGGGACUCAAAAGUAAAUCUUAAGGUUAUUCGGGAAAAGGAAUGUUUCUACACUUUUGAUGGGAAUGUAAACUAAUACAACCAAUAUGGAAAUCAAUAUAGCAGUUCCUUAAAAAACUAAAAAGAGAAAUUCCAUUUAACCCAGCUAAAUCUCUUCUGGGUAUCUUUCUAAAGGACCUAAAGGCAUUAUAUCACAGUGAUAAAUGUAUGCCCAUUCUUGUAGCAGAAUGAUUGAAAAUUACUGAAUCAUGAAAACAGUCUAAAUGUCUAUCGACAGAUGAAUAUAUAAAGAAAAUGUGAUAUAUAUAUAUAUAUACACACACACACACACAUAUACAUGAUGGAGUACUACUCAGUCAUGAAGAAGAAUAAAUUUUAGCGUUUGUAGGGAAAUGGAUGAAUCUUGAGACCAUAAAACUAAGUGAAAUAAAUCAGACAUAGAAAGUCAAAUAUUGCAUGGUUUCUCUUACAUAGAAACCCAAAAUAUAGAGAAUUUAGAGAGCAAAAUAAAAGACAGAUGGUAGGAAAUAGAAGGGUAGAAGGAAAGAGUAGAGGGCAGUGGGAAAAGGUGGAAUGAACGUAUCAAUAUGAGAUAUGAAUAUGUACCAGUCCCUAAGAUGAAUGUAAUUAUUAUGCACCACAAAAUAAGAUAUCUAUCUAUCUACCUCUCUGUGAAAGAGGGUAGACAAAGGAGGUGAUAAGAAAAGCUAUUGGAAAGCUCUUUACUAAAGAGAGACAAAGGACCACAGGAACAUCCCAGAGGCAAAAACAGGGGUCACAAACUCAAAUUCUCAUAGGAAUACGACCUUGAGGAGGUAACAAAGCCCAGUGACCAGGUUCGGGAACUCUGGCCCCAAGUGCUUCAGUUUAAUCCCAACUGCACCAUUCAGCCGAUGCAUGAACUCAGGAAAGUCAUUGACUUGUGCACAAGAUCCUUUGCCUCAAAUGGUGCUUGCUCAUCUGGGUGGCUUUUGCCCCAUUUGCUUCCUUGGCAAAUACUGAGGCUCAUUUAGAUUAUCCUUAAAAGUCACCCCACAUUUAACAGAACAAAGAAUUAACUCCAAUUAUUUUAACUAAAUGUUUGCACAUUUAUUGCUUACCACAGAAUAUUCCUAACAAGGAUUGCUUACUCAUUGUUGAUAUAAAUAGUAGGGGGAGGGAGAGAUGAACAGAGAAAGGAAGGGGUGGGAAAGUAAUACACUGCAAAAAUGAAGAAGGAAGAGUUAGUACAACUAGAGGGGAAAUGGUGAGAAGUAAUAACAUGGACAGAUGGGGAAGUGGCUGGUGGUUAAAGACAUUACAUUUACGCAUCUUAGUGAUGGGGAAAUGAGCCUUAUGAGUCACAGUAUUUCUAAUUUGACCAAUUUGCAAGCUAUAAAUGUUUAUAAUGAGUGUAAUUUGUUGAACUUAUGUUAAUA